UCCUCUCUCUUGUCUGCUGUGGGCCCAGGGCCCAGCUCAGGGCCUCCGCCAACACUCCCUGAGACCCCACCCUUGGUCUAAUCUCAAUACACCUUCAUUCACAAACAGCAAUUGAGCCACUGAGUGGAAGUUGUCACUUGGGAUACACAGACGUGUGUUCUUCUGUGUCCAGCCCCCAUCUGUGUCCACCUCUGUCCCUUCCUCUCUCCCUCCAACCGUCUGCGUUUGUAAAUAUCUAUUUAAAUAAAAGACUUUGACAAUCA
Molecule: non-coding RNA, 263 nt
Organism: Vicugna pacos (alpaca)
Lineage: Eukaryota; Metazoa; Chordata; Mammalia; Artiodactyla; Camelidae
Source: RefSeq, a predicted model, not a curated record